This 882-nucleotide ribosomal RNA is filed under the name Oryza sativa (Asian cultivated rice). The record is from RNAcentral. Lineage: Eukaryota; Viridiplantae; Streptophyta; Magnoliopsida; Poales; Poaceae.
AUGGGAGGGUUUGUCAAGACCCAGAAGACCAAUGCCUACUACAAGCGUUUCCAAGUCAAGUUCAAGAGACGGAGGCAGGGCAAGACUGACUACAGGGCCAGGAUUAGGCUCACCAACCAAGAUAAGAACAAGUACAACACACCGAAGUACCGCUUCGUUGUGAGAUUUACAAACAAAGAUAUCACAGCUCAAAUUGUCUAUGCUACCAUUGCUGGUGAUAUCGUGAUGGCUGCUGCCUACUCCCAUGAGCUGCCUCGCUAUGGUCUUGAAGUUGGUCUCACCAACUAUGCGGCAGCUUAUUGCACUGGCUUGCUUUUGGCUCGCCGUGUGCUCAAGCUCCGUGGUUUGGACCAGGAGUACGAGGGCAAUAUUGAGGCCACUGGGGAGGACUACUAUGUUGAACCAGCUGAUGAAAGGCGGCCUUUCCGUGCUCUCUUGGAUGUUGGCCUCAUUAGGACAACCACUGGAAACCGUGUCUUUGGUGCCCUCAAGGGAGCUUUGGAUGGUGGUCUUGACAUUCCUCACAGUGACAAGAGGUUUGCUGGGUUCAAGAAGGACGAGAAGCAGCUUGAUUCUGAUAUUCACCGCAAGUACAUCUACGGUGGGCACGUGGCUGACUACAUGAGGUCUAUGGCGGAGGAGGAACCUGAGAAAUUCCAAGCCCACUUCAGUGAGUACCUCAAGAAGGGAAUUGAUGCUGAUGGCAUGGAAGCACUGUACAAGAAGGUCCAUGCUGCCAUCCGUGCUGAUCCCUACCAUGGCCAAAUCAACCAAGAAGGAACCGGCGACCCACAAGAGAUACAACCUCAAGAAGCUAACCUACGAACAGAGGAAGGCCAGUCUUGUCGAAAGAUUGAAUGCUCUCAACUCCUCUGCUGGUGC